ACCGGUUUAGUUCAGCAGGCAGAAUGCCUGAUUGCGAAAUCAGGAUGACAGCGGUUCAACUCCGCUAACCGGUACCA
This 77-nucleotide transfer RNA is filed under the name Buttiauxella sp. 3AFRM03. RNAcentral's name for it is "tRNA-Arg". It matches the Rfam family "tRNA". From Rfam's summary of the family: Transfer RNA (tRNA) molecules are approximately 80 nucleotides in length. Their secondary structure includes four short double-helical elements and three loops (D, anti-codon, and T loops). Further hydrogen bonds mediate the characteristic L-shaped molecular structure. tRNAs have two regions of fundamental functional importance: the anti-codon, which is responsible for specific mRNA codon recognition, and the 3' end, to which the tRNAs corresponding amino acid is attached (by aminoacyl-tRNA synthetases). tRNAs cope with the degeneracy of the genetic code in two manners: having more than one tRNA (with a specific anti-codon) for a particular amino acid; and 'wobble' base-pairing, i.e. permitting non-standard base-pairing at the 3rd anti-codon position. Lineage: Bacteria; Pseudomonadati; Pseudomonadota; Gammaproteobacteria; Enterobacterales; Enterobacteriaceae. The record is from RNAcentral.